This 69-nucleotide transfer RNA is filed under the name Ictidomys tridecemlineatus (thirteen-lined ground squirrel). RNAcentral describes it as "Spermophilus tridecemlineatus (thirteen-lined ground squirrel) tRNA". It matches the Rfam family "tRNA". Rfam says of the family: Transfer RNA (tRNA) molecules are approximately 80 nucleotides in length. Their secondary structure includes four short double-helical elements and three loops (D, anti-codon, and T loops). Lineage: Eukaryota; Metazoa; Chordata; Mammalia; Rodentia; Sciuridae. The record is from Rfam by way of RNAcentral.
GGGGUUGUGGCUCGGCGGUAGAGCACUCACCUAGCAUGUGCGAGGCCCUGGGUUCGAUCCUCAGCACCA